CGAACGAAGCAAUUAAGAUGAAGUUUCGGAUGGAAUCUUGAUUGACUGAGUGGCGGACGGGUGAGUAACGCGUGGAUAACCUGCCUCACACUGGGGGAUAACAGUUAGAAAUGACUGCUAAUACCGCAUAAGCGCACAGUGCCGCAUGGCAGUGUGUGAAAAACUCCGGUGGUGUGAGAUGGAUCCGCGUCUGAUUAGCCAGUUGGCGGGGUAACGGCCCACCAAAGCGACGAUCAGUAGCCGACCUGAGAGGGUGACCGGCCACAUUGGGACUGAGACACGGCCCAAACUCCUACGGGAGGCAGCAGUGGGGAAUAUUGCACAAUGGGCGAAAGCCUGAUGCAGCGACGCCGCGUGAGUGAAGAAGUAUUUCGGUAUGUAAAGCUCUAUCAGCAGGGAAGAAAAUGACGGUACCUGACUAAGAAGCCCCGGCUAACUACGUGCCAGCAGCCGCGGUAAUACGUAGGGGGCAAGCGUUAUCCGGAUUUACUGGGUGUAAAGGGAGCGUAGACGGCGAAGCAAGUCUGAAGUGAAAACCCAGGGCUCAACCCUGGGACUGCUUUGGAAACUGUUUUGCUAGAGUGUCGGAGAGGUAAGUGGAAUUCCUAGUGUAGCGGUGAAAUGCGUAGAUAUUAGGAGGACACCAGUGGCGAAGGCGGCUUACUGGACG
RNAcentral lists this ribosomal RNA (670 nucleotides) under uncultured Lachnospiraceae bacterium. Its description in RNAcentral is "bacterial SSU rRNA". It matches the Rfam family "Bacterial small subunit ribosomal RNA", at positions 48 to 735 of the family's 1533-position model. The record is from RNAcentral. Lineage: Bacteria; Bacillati; Bacillota; Clostridia; Lachnospirales; Lachnospiraceae.